RNAcentral lists this ribosomal RNA (445 nucleotides) under uncultured soil bacterium. RNAcentral describes it as "bacterial SSU rRNA". It matches the Rfam family "Bacterial small subunit ribosomal RNA", at positions 26 to 518 of the family's 1533-position model. The record is from RNAcentral.
AGAACGAACGCUGGCGGCAGGCCUAAUACAUGCAAGUCGAACGCACUCUUCGGAGUGAGUGGCAGACGGGUGAGUAACGCGUGGGAACCUUCCCAAUGGUACGGAAUAACUCCGGGAAACCGGUGCUAAUACCGUAUAAGCCCCUCGGGGGAAAGAUUUAUCGCCAUUGGAUGGGCCCGCGUCGGAUUAGCUAGUUGGUGAGGUAAUGGCUCACCAAGGCUACGAUCCGUAGCUGGUCUGAGAGGAUGAUCAGCCACACUGGGACUGAGACACGGCCCAGACUCCUGCGGGAGGCAGCAGUAGGGAAUCUUGGACAAUGGGCGAAAGCCUGAUCCAGCCAUGCCGCGUGAGUGAAGAAGGCCUUAGGGUUGUAAAGCUCUUUUGGCGGGGACGAUAAUGACGGUACCCGCAGAAUAAGCCCGGCUAACUUCGUGCCAGCAGCCGC